GUAAGGGGACCACUGGUAUCCAUUUAAUGCUUUACAGUUUACGAAUCGUGUUCUAUCGUUCAACCAUCUUGUGAGGGUAUCUUGAGUAGAAGAACACAACCAGCUUGAGCUUAUCCUGCUGAGGUGACCUCAAAGGAAGGGAUUUGGUGACGGAUUAGCAGCUGUCUUUGACAGGACCUCUCCAGAGUACAGAAGCUACCAAGUCCCCAACUCAUGGAGCAGCCAAGGGAUGUUGGGGAACAUCAUCUCCUAAGCUGACCAUGGUCACUGGGUAUAUCAGCGAGUGAGGAAAGGGAAGGAUC
Molecule: long non-coding RNA, 302 nt
Filed under: Ailuropoda melanoleuca (giant panda)
Lineage: Eukaryota; Metazoa; Chordata; Mammalia; Carnivora; Ursidae
Description: lncRNA (ENSAMEG00000026351.1)
Source: RNAcentral